RNAcentral lists this ribosomal RNA (490 nucleotides) under uncultured bacterium. RNAcentral describes it as "partial 16S ribosomal RNA". It matches the Rfam family "Bacterial small subunit ribosomal RNA", at positions 30 to 507 of the family's 1533-position model. The record is from RNAcentral.
AUUGAACGCUGGCGGCAGGCCUAACACAUGCAAGUCGAACGGUAACAGAAAGCAGCUUGCUGCUUUGUUGACGAGUGGCGGACGGGUGAGUAAUGUCUGGGAAACUGCCUGAUGGAGGGGGAUAACUACUGGAAACGGUAGCUAAUACCGCAUAACGUCGCAAGACCAAAGAGGGGGACCUUCGGGCCUCUUGCCAUCGGAUGUGCCCAGAUGGGAUUAGCUAGUAGGUGGGGUAACGGCUCACCUAGGCGACGAUCCCUAGCUGGUCUGAGAGGAUGACCAGCCACACUGGAACUGAGACACGGUCCAGACUCCUACGGGAGGCAGCAGUGGGGAAUAUUGCACAAUGGGCGCAAGCCUGAUGCAGCCAUGCCGCGUGUAUGAAGAAGGCCUUCGGGUUGUAAAGUACUUUCAGCGGGGAGGAAGGGAGUAAAGUUAAUACCUUUGCUCAUUGACGUUACCCGCAGAAGAAGCACCGGCUAACUCCGUG